Molecule: ribosomal RNA, 253 nt
Filed under: uncultured bacterium
Lineage: Bacteria
Description: partial 16S ribosomal RNA
Rfam family: Bacterial small subunit ribosomal RNA
Source: RNAcentral
GACGUAGGGGGCCAGCGUUGCUCGGAAUUACUGGGCGUAAAGGGUCUGUAGGCGGUGCGGCAAGUCGGGAGUGAAAUCUCUGGGCUUAACCCAGAGGCUGCUUCCGAAACUGCCGUGCUCGAGUGCGGGAGAGGCGAGUGGAAUUGCCGGUGUAGCGGUGAAAUGCGUAGAUAUCGGCAGGAACACCCGUGGCGAAGGCGGCUCGCUGGACCGCAACUGACGCUGAGAGACGAAAGCUAGGGGAGCAAACAGG